This 390-nucleotide ribosomal RNA is filed under the name uncultured bacterium. Its description in RNAcentral is "bacterial SSU rRNA". It matches the Rfam family "Bacterial small subunit ribosomal RNA", at positions 28 to 417 of the family's 1533-position model. The record is from RNAcentral.
GACGAACGCUGGCGGCGUGCUUAACACAUGCAAGUCGAGCGGUAAGGCCCUUUCGGGGGUACGACGAGCGGCGAACGGGUGAGUAACACGUGGGUGACCUGCCCUCAGCUCUGGGAUAAGCCUGGGAAACCGGGUCUAAUACCGGAUAUGACUCCAUGACGCAUGUUGUGGGGUGGAAAGCCUUGUGCGGCUGAGGAUGGGCCCGCGGCCUAUCAGCUUGUUGGUGGGGUGAUGGCCUACCAAGGCGACGACGGGUAGCCGGCCUGAGAGGGCGACCGGCCACACUGGGACUGAGACACGGCCCAGACUCCUACGGGAGGCAGCAGUGGGGAAUCUUGCGCAAUGGGCGAAAAGCCUGACGCAGCGACGCCGCGUGAGGGAUGACGGCCU